GCAGUCGAGCGGUAGCACAGAGAGCUUGCUCUCGGGUGACGAGCGGCGGACGGGUGAGUAAUGUCUGGGAAACUGCCUGAUGGAGGGGGAUAACUACUGGAAACGGUAGCUAAUACCGCAUAAUGUCGCAAGACCAAAGUGGGGGACCUUCGGGCCUCAUGCCAUCAGAUGUGCCCAGAUGGGAUUAGCUAGUAGGUGGGGUAACGGCUCACCUAGGCGACGAUCCCUAGCUGGUCUGAGAGGAUGACCAGCCACACUGGAACUGAGACACGGUCCAGACUCCUACGGGAGGCAGCAGUGGGGAAUAUUGCACAAUGGGCGCAAGCCUGAUGCAGCCAUGCCGCGUGUGUGAAGAAGGCCUUCGGGUUGUAAAGCACUUUCAGCGGGGAGGAAGGCGUUAAGGUUAAUAACCUUGGCGAUUGACGUUACCCGCAGAAGAAGCACCGGCUAACUCCGUGCCAGCAGCCGCGGUAAUACGGAGGGUGCAAGCGUUAAUCGGAAUUACUGGGCGUAAAGCGCACGCAGGCGGUCUGUCAAGUCGGAUGUGAAAUCCCCGGGCUCAACCUGGGAACUGCAUUCGAAACUGGCAGGCUAGAGUCUUGUAGAGGGGGGUAGAAUUCCAGGUGUAGCGGUGAAAUGCGUAGAGAUCUGGAGGAAUACCGGUGGCGAAGGCGGCCCCCUGGACAAAGACUGACGCUCAGGUGCGAAAGCGUGGGGAGCAAACAGGAUUAGAUACCCUGGUAGUCCACGCCGUAAACGAUGUCGAUUUGGAGGUUGUGCCCUUGAGGCGUGGCUUCCGGAGCUAACGCGUUAAAUCGACCGCCUGGGGAGUACGGCCGCAAGGUUAAAACUCAAAUGAAUUGACGGGGGCCCGCACAAGCGGUGGAGCAUGUGGUUUAAUUCGAUGCAACGCGAAGAACCUUACCUGGUCUUGACAUCCACAGAACUUUCCAGAGAUGGAUUGGUGCCUUCGGGAACUGUGAGACAGGUGCUGCAUGGCUGUCGUCAGCUCGUGUUGUGAAAUGUUGGGUUAAGUCCCGCAACGAGCGCAACCCUUAUCCUUUGUUGCCAGCGGUCAGGCCGGGAACUCAAAGGAGACUGCCAGUGAUAAACUGGAGGAAGGUGGGGAUGACGUCAAGUCAUCAUGGCCCUUACGACCAGGGCUACACACGUGCUACAAUGGCAUAUACAAAGAGAAGCGACCUCGCGAGAGCAAGCGGACCUCAUAAAGUAUGUCGUAGUCCGGAUUGGAGUCUGCAACUCGACUCCAUGAAGUCGGAAUCGCUAGUAAUCGUAGAUCAGAAUGCUACGGUGAAUACGUUCCCGGGCCUUGUACACACCGCCCGUCACACCAUGGGAGUGGGUUGCAAAAGAAGUAGGUAGCUUAACCUUCGGGAGGGCGCUAC
RNAcentral lists this ribosomal RNA (1406 nucleotides) under Klebsiella sp. WL1316. RNAcentral describes it as "bacterial SSU rRNA". It matches the Rfam family "Bacterial small subunit ribosomal RNA". Lineage: Bacteria; Pseudomonadati; Pseudomonadota; Gammaproteobacteria; Enterobacterales; Enterobacteriaceae. The record is from RNAcentral.